RNAcentral lists this ribosomal RNA (460 nucleotides) under uncultured bacterium. Its description in RNAcentral is "partial 16S ribosomal RNA". It matches the Rfam family "Bacterial small subunit ribosomal RNA", at positions 339 to 795 of the family's 1533-position model. The record is from RNAcentral.
CUACGGGUGCAGCAGUAAGGAAUAUUGGGCAAUGGACGCAAGUCUGACCCAGCCAUGCCGCGUGCAGGAUGACAGCCCUACGGGUUGUAAACUGCUUUUAUACGGGAAAAAUUCCCCGGUCGUGAAUCGGGGUUGAUGGUACCGUAAGAAUAAGCAUCGGCUAACUCCGUGCCAGGCAGCCGCGGUAAUACGGAGGAUGCAAGCGUUAUCCGGAUUCAUUGGGUUUAAAGGGUGCGUAGGCGGAAUGAUAAGUCAGUGGUGAAAUCCUACAGCUUAACUGUAGAACUGCCAUUGAUACUGUUGUUCUUGAGUACAGUUGAAGUGGGCGGAAUGUGUCAUGUAGCGGUGAAAUGCAUAGAGAUGACACAGAACACCGAUGGCGAAGGCAGCUCACUAAACUGUAACUGACGCUGAGGCACGAAAGCGUGGGGAUCAAACAGGAUUAGAUACCCCUGUAGUC